GGGGCCAUGCUAGUCAUAAGUUUCUGUUUUCUGUUAGCAUCAAUAGUGCUUGCUGUGACCAGCUCUGGGUCUGCUGUUGAAAAAGCUGCAUGUGUGUUUGGAUUUCUUGCAAGUAGUGCAUUUUUAGCUGAAAGUAUUAUACAGCGUUUUCACAGUCAGAAACAAAAUGUCGACGUACGCUCUGAAAAUCCUAGCAACACUCAGAGUGCCACGGAAAAUCAGCCACUGAAUAAACAAAGCUAACUUUCUGGAAUUAUUUCUUUUUUUUUUUGCUUAAUGGAGCAAACUAAAAUGAACUAAAAUGAACUUUGCACUGUAGGUAACAACUUCUUCUGUCUCUUCCUUCUAAUCAAUUUUGUACGCAUUACUCAUCACAAAUUUUUAUAGAUCCUUAGAUCAAGUAAUGGCAUCUUUAGCAUCAUGUUCUAAGGUAACUGGUCCUGCUUAAUAGCUAGUCCUGCCAUCUGUCCAGGUGACAUACGCUAAAAAAACUUGUGUCUAAAUAGAAUAACUUAAGGACAACAGCGUGCUGAUUUGAUUUUGACAGCGGUGACUGAUAAAGGUCAAUGUGUGAUGCAUAAAUUCUGAGCUAUACCCUAAAGAUAUUUUCUGUAUAAAUGGUUCAGAUACUUCUGUUAUGCAUUAUAAAUUAGUACAGCAGAAUUCAUUUUUGUACUUACUGGUCAAACUGUGAAUGUAAAAGGGAUACCUAAUUGGAGCCUUACAGAAAUGCUUAUCCUUACAUAAGGGUUUUUGUUUUGUUUUUAUUCUUCAUAUGUCUCAGUUCUGUCUGUGGAGAUCAGUUUAAUGGCAUAGCAAGCGUAGGGGUUUUAUGGGGAGGAUAAUGUAAUGGUAAAUUAAGGAGACAGUUUUGCACCCCAUGAUUGUCAAGGUUUGGACUUCUAUGCCAGAAUCUUCUUUCAGAUUAUUUCAAAAGCUAUAAAAGUUGCAGGAAGAACCUUGAAAAGCCAGCUGUGAGAGGAAAAAAGAUGGAAGAAUAAAUAUUUUCACAAAGUAACCCAAAAAGUAACAAUCUGAACAUCAAUGGGAAAAAACAUUACAGCACAUUGGUACUAUCCUGGUGAAUAUUACUCACAAGAUUAAUAACCAUAUGCAGCUUGUUUAUGCAUAGUUAAUGGUAAGUUUUGCCAGAAUGGUUAUGGACCCCGUCGUUUUCUUUGUUUAUAAAUACGGCACUAGCUUGACACUUCUUGCUACUGACUAGGUCAGUUGGUAAACGGGUAGAUAAGCACUUGUACCCUUGAUUUGUCUUAAAAGCGACAGGCUGUAGGACUGCAAGAAACACUACUGAUGCAACACGUAUCAGACAAGUGACAGAUAUAUCGGACUAGAUGUUGAUGGCUGUAAAAGAAGUGAAGUGGUGAAAAGGCGUUUUUCAGAUGUCUGAGGUAGAAGCAAGACUGCUAGACCUCACUGAAGAGGAAAGCCUUCAAAAGUAGGGCAAAUUGCUGUGAGCCCAGAGAUGUUCCAAAAUACCAAAGCAAAUGAGAAAAAGCUGAUUAUGCAAAAACAAUUCUUGUUUGAGUGCUCGUGACAUUUGCCAUGUCUUCCAGGUGUUAACUCCGUUUCGUCAAUACCCUAGUCUGACAAAUUUCUAGUCCUGUAACCUGUUGUGGCAGCAUUGAGACUAAGCCCUCCAGAAACUGGCUGAGCAAGCUGCAUUUGGAAAAGGAUGAGGAAGCUGUUGUAAGACAGAGCACUGUAGAAGGUCAAAGGUUUUUUUUCCAGUGCUGCCACUUUCUGAUGAAUGUGAGUUUGUGAUGUUCUCUCUCUAAGCUCUGAGACUUAAGCCUAACACUACACUUUGCUUGGAGGAUGUAAGAUUUUGACAGGUGGUGUGAAGCAUCAAGUUUAAGCUGUCACUUGGUUUCAGAGCCAUGCAUAAAAUACAUACUUUCUUUCGUAGAAUUUCCUGCUUUCUGAAGAAAUGCUCUUUGGACUGUCUUUUUUGCCUUGUAUUUAUUAGUGUCCAUUUGCACUAAAACCUGAUCUCAGACUAGGUGUACAGAGCUUGCUGUAGCUGUCUCUGAAAACUGGGUAGAUUAGAGAUGUUUUGUUUACAAGCAGUGUUACUGGUGAUAAGAAACUUGCCUUAAUGAGAAAUCUCUCUGCUAUGAUUUGCAGUGUCUUACUUGGGGGAUUGUGUCCAUAUCUAUGAUUAACAUUCUAAGGGAGUUUUUUGAUUUUUUUUUUUUUUUUUAAUUGCCCAGGAUUCUACUGAAUUUGUUUUCACAUCAAAAUGUCUGUAGUCUAUAAAUCUUGAUCUAUAAUUAAAAGCUGUAAAUAUAGUGUAAGAGUAACACUGUGCUGCUGAUAUUUAUUAAGCAAUGCAGCACCAUGAUGGAACUUUUAUCUUGAGAUAAUUUUUCUUGUAAUUUUUCUCAGCUUGAAAAUAUAUGAAGAGAGUUCUGGGUUUUGGUUGCUUUUUCUAUAGACUUUUCCCCACCUCAGUGCUUUGUUAUUGGUGUCCAUUCCUGAAUUGGAUAUACUGGUACUGAAAAGGAUCUGUAAAGUCAUCUCUCUGCCUUGGCCUCCCUAUCUAUGAUACCUACUGCUGAUACUUCACAGAGAAACUGAAAUACUGAGCAAGUUAUUGUUAUGAAAAAGUGCCACAAGGAGUUGGUGUCAGAAGAAGGUGGCUCUGACUGAGAUCUAACUCCCAUGAUCUGACUAUUAGGCCUUUUGAAACAAAUACUGCCAGCCUUUGCAGAGUGGUUUGAUGGAUUCUCCUACUACAUACGUGCUGGCAUCCCUGGCCUGGUUUGGGUUGUUAGAGUGAGGGGGUUUUGGCAUGUUUUUUCGUUUUCAUUUAGCUGCUCCAAGUAGGUAGUUUAUACCCAUUCUCUCACCAGCUGACUGAUCCACGUAUAGAUUUGAGGAUCAGAUUCCAUCUCUGACUGAAAGGGAUGCAAGCGUUGCCGUCAGCUAAUGAAAACAACAAACAAUAGUCUUCGGGGAAACUGGUUAGUUGUUUUCCCAUAUGUCACAGGAGCUUACUAAUAGGAAGAGUCCUGCUAUUCUUUACAGCAAUGCAUACUGCUCCGUUCCAGACGCUGUUUAGCUGGCAUGAAUCUGUCACACAGUAGUUAAAUACUACGAGCAGACAAGUCGCAUAUUGGUUAUAGGUUUAAGGCAAUUGCUAAAUUGUUGCUUCCAAACCAGUUGUUGGCUAACAAAGCAGUUUCUGCAUGGUGGUACUAUUAAUCCUAGGCUUAUAAGUAUGAAGUGUUCUUUUUGUUCUGUUUUAAAAUAGUUGAGAAGCAGGUUUAGUAGUGUGUAUGCUGUCCUCUGCUUCUGCGGGGUCGUUUCCUUAACUGCUUUAUCAGCUUCCUAUGAUAAAGGGGCAGGUGCGUGUCCCUCCUAGCUCCUCUGCCCUCACAGAGGGUAAUGGCUGAGCAGACUGGUCUCCUGCAGUCUUGACGUGCCCCAUUUGAUGCUUCUGGUGUCAGAUCCAGGCUUUGAGUGUCUGUCUUUUAAUUAGACUGAUCCCAGAGAAUGGUGUUGGAGCUGGAUUAAACAUCUGGUUUUGCAGGAGCUCUGCGCAUGUGGGUGGAUGUCUCUUACCCCUCCCGCUCUCUGUCAGCAAAGUGGUCUGCUUGUUUCCCAGCCUGCUUCUGAUGAAAUCAGCCUACUUUAUUUAAACCAGCUAUUUAAAUUGCUUACAUUAAGGUGGCUGAUUUUGACUUCAGUGGAUUAGGGACUGUUCAGGAGAGUGUUGGCAGCUCUGGCAGAAGUGCUGUUACAAGCAACUGUCUUAAAUUUCUUCUUCUGUUUGCAAAGUAACCAUCUCUCUACAAUCUUAACUGGUAGUAAAACCUGUGGAAAGAAGCAACUGGCCCAGUAUGUCUACCUGGGGAUUGUCUUCUCCCUUCUUCGCCACGGUGCUUGGCAGUGGUGUUGCCAGCCUGCUCAGACACAUUAAAAGCUUUCGUCUUUUUCCAGCUGAGCUCGUCCAAAAGUAUUUAAAGGCUCUGCACCCACCUUCAGGCUUUGUUUACAGUGCCUUGAGAAUCAGUGCAGAGGAUUCUCCAGGACAUGUGAGGACUUGUUAAGUGGCUGGACUGUGAGUUUCUGCUCCGAAAAUCUGCAUGUGCAUUGUGUAGGUUGUGAAUGUUAAUUUUUGUGUUCGACGAUUAGCCCACAUUAAAAUCACAAUGCUACCAGUACCCUUUGGGUUCUAAAUAUGUGAAGGAAUUGUACCUUACUGCUUGCACUCUGUGCUUAAAAAUAGCAGGGAAGGCUUGUGGUCUGUUAGCAUUGAGUUCUCCGUGUGCACCCUCCAACUUGAAAAAGCAGUGAGCUAUCAUCUCGCAGAAUUCUGAGCUCUGCACAAGAUGUUUUUGCAUAAUGGCCAUCAUGGUGAUCCUCAUUCAAAUUUGUGCAAUAAAAAUACCAAGCUUUCUACACUGAAGGGAAAGAAAUACUUUCUGAAAUUUUUGAAAGGUUACAUAAAAUUGUAACGAAGCAAGAUGCUGGUAGUGCCUUUAAGAUGGAAAUUCAUCUUUGUUUUAGUCUAUUGCUGUAAACAUAAGCAGUUCUCUAGAUACUAAAUUUUAUGCUGUUCAGAACUAUCUAUCACUUUUAAUACCUUUGAGAAUUUAAGUGACUUUUAAUAAUUAUUAAAUCAGGAUGGUAAUACAGUGGGUUUAUAUAUAUAAAAUAAAAAUUUUAUACAGUUUU
This is a long non-coding RNA of Aptenodytes forsteri (emperor penguin), 4701 nucleotides long. RefSeq lists it as uncharacterized. Lineage: Eukaryota; Metazoa; Chordata; Aves; Sphenisciformes; Spheniscidae. The record is from RefSeq and is a predicted model, not a curated record. The transcript is spliced from 2 exons.